GUUGGGCACGGUGGUGCAUGCCUGUAAUCCCAGUGACUCAGGAGACUGAGGCAGGAGGAUUUGGAGUUCAAAGUCAGCCUCAGAAACUUAGCAAGGCCCUAAGCAACUCAGCGAGAUCCUGUUUCUA
Molecule: small RNA, 127 nt
Filed under: Marmota monax (woodchuck)
Lineage: Eukaryota; Metazoa; Chordata; Mammalia; Rodentia; Sciuridae
Source: RNAcentral